AAGAAUUUAGUUUAGUAAAAUAUUAGAUUGUAAAUCUAAAGUGUUAAUUCUUA
Molecule: transfer RNA, 53 nt
Filed under: Macropostrongyloides baylisi
Lineage: Eukaryota; Metazoa; Nematoda; Chromadorea; Rhabditida; Strongylidae
Description: tRNA-Tyr
Source: RNAcentral